UAUGUUCGUUGCCAUAUCAAUCCUCACUGUGGUGGCUGUGUGCACAGCUCUCUCUUUCACUGAGUUUGACUUUAGACGGUGGUAUCUUUACGUGAUUGUUAUAAUAACAGCAUUUACUGCGACCUAUAUUAUGAUGUAUGUAUCAAAAAACAGAUACAAAAUACCAUUGAAAUCGAUUACCUGGACAUUGCUGCCCGUUGGUACUGUACUACAUGCAAUAAUGUUCAUAUUAGAGUUGCAAUUAAUCAUCGGUGGAGGGAAGAUAGUUAUGGGUGAAAAUGAAGUCGUGUAUACUGCAUUCCUGCUAUACACGGCUCCUGUUGACGUUUUCAUUAAAAUAUUCGAAGUUAUUUUUGGGACUGAAGACUGAACGAGUUAAAACGCUGAA
Colias croceus (clouded yellow) is the source of this 388-nucleotide long non-coding RNA. RefSeq lists it as uncharacterized. Lineage: Eukaryota; Metazoa; Arthropoda; Insecta; Lepidoptera; Pieridae. The record is from RefSeq and is a predicted model, not a curated record. The transcript has 3 exons.